GACGAACGCUGGCGGCGUGCUUAACACAUGCAAGUCGAACGGACAGGCCCUGCUUUUGUGGGGUGCUCGAGUGGCGAACGGGUGAGUAACACGUGAGUAACCUGCCCUUGACUUUGGGAUAACCUCAGGAAACUGGGGCUAAUACCGGAUAUGAGCUCCUGCUGCAUGUUGGUGGUUGGAAAGUUUCGGCUGUUGGGGAUGGACUCGCGGCUUAUCAGCUUGUUUGUGUGGUAGUGGCUUACCAAGGCUUUGACGGGUAGCCGGCCUGAGAGGGUGAACGGCCACAUGGGGACUGCGAUACGGACCAGAAUCGUACGGGAGGCAGCAGUGGGGAAUCUUGCACAGUGGGCGGAAGCCUGAUGCAGCAACGCUGCGUGCGGGAUGACGGCCUUCGGGUUGUAAACAGAUUUCGACUGUGACGAAGCGUGAGUGACGGUAAUGGGUAAAGAAGCACCGGCUAACUACGUG
This 468-nucleotide ribosomal RNA is filed under the name uncultured bacterium. Its description in RNAcentral is "partial 16S ribosomal RNA". It matches the Rfam family "Bacterial small subunit ribosomal RNA", at positions 28 to 507 of the family's 1533-position model. The record is from RNAcentral.